AACGAACGCUGGCGGCAGGCCUAACACAUGCAAGUCGAGCGGACCCUUCGGGGUUAGCGGCGGACGGGUGAGUAGCGCGUGGGAGUAUGCCCUUCUCUACGGAAUAGUCCUGGGAAACUGGGGGUAAUACCGUAUACGCCCUUUGGGGGAAAGAUUUAUCGGGGAAGGAUUAGCCCGCGUUGGAUUAGGUAGUUGGUGGGGUAAUGGCCUACCAAGCCGACGAUCCAUAGCUGGUUUGAGAGGAUGAUCAGCCACACUGGGACUGAGACACGGCCCAGACUCCUACGGGAGGCAGCAGUGGGGAAUCUUAGACAAUGGGGGCAACCCUGAUCUAGCCAUGCCGCGUGAGUGAUGAAGGCCUUAGGGUUGUAAAGCUCUUUCAGCUGGGAAGAUAAUGACGGUACCAGCAGAAGAAGCCCCGGCUAACUCCGUG
This 433-nucleotide ribosomal RNA is filed under the name uncultured bacterium. RNAcentral's name for it is "partial 16S ribosomal RNA". It matches the Rfam family "Bacterial small subunit ribosomal RNA", at positions 29 to 507 of the family's 1533-position model. The record is from RNAcentral.